Molecule: non-coding RNA, 97 nt
Filed under: bovine gut metagenome
Description: SAM riboswitch (S box leader)
Rfam family: SAM riboswitch aptamer (S box leader)
About the family: The SAM riboswitch is found upstream of a number of genes which code for proteins involved in methionine or cysteine biosynthesis in Gram-positive bacteria. The SAM riboswitch acts at the level of transcription termination control. The predicted structure consists of a complex stem-loop region followed by a single stem loop terminator region.
Source: RNAcentral
CCUUAUUUCGAGUGGCUGAGGGAACAGGCCCUGCGAAGCCCGACAACCUGCCUUACGGCAAGGUGUCAAAUCCUGCGGUGAAAGCCGAAAGAUAAGG